Molecule: long non-coding RNA, 201 nt
Filed under: Carica papaya (papaya)
Lineage: Eukaryota; Viridiplantae; Streptophyta; Magnoliopsida; Brassicales; Caricaceae
Description: long non-coding RNA (CPAP_LNC012639)
Source: RNAcentral
UCCCUUGCCACAUUACACGCUCCGAUUUGUCAGGGCUGCUGACUGGGCGUCCUAUGUGGCACAACUUUUUUAAAUUGUAUUUUGACCCAUAAUUUUUGAUUUUUUUAAAAAAUAUCAACAGAACUUAAAUUUUCACCCUUUUUUCUCAAAAUUACUUUCAAUUUCAUUCUCUACCUAUUUUUCUUCAUUUUUACAUUAAAU